RNAcentral lists this non-coding RNA (227 nucleotides) under Enterococcus devriesei. RNAcentral's name for it is "T-box sequence". It matches the Rfam family "T-box leader". From Rfam's summary of the family: Uncharged tRNA acts as the effector for transcription antitermination of genes in the T-box leader family. T-boxes are found upstream of many aminoacyl-tRNA synthetase genes and some amino acid biosynthetic genes usually in Gram-positive bacteria. The anticodon of a specific tRNA base pairs to a specifier sequence within the T-box motif, and the NCCA acceptor tail of the tRNA base pairs to a conserved bulge in the T-box antiterminator hairpin. Lineage: Bacteria; Bacillati; Bacillota; Bacilli; Lactobacillales; Enterococcaceae. The record is from RNAcentral.
CAAACGACAAUGAAAAGAAGAGUAGCAGUUCAUUUGUUCCCAGAGAGUCUCUGAUUGGUGAAAAGAGACAACGAUGAUUUGUGAACCACAUCUUUGAGUCGAUUAGUUGAAUCAAGUAGGCUGAUCCGGGAGUGCCCGUUAUAGCAGAGGUCAAUUGACCAGUUGAGAUCGCUCGUUGUGAGACGGUGAUAAAAAAAAGGUGGAACCACGUAAUUCACGUCCUUUAG